Numida meleagris (helmeted guineafowl) is the source of this 4018-nucleotide RNA transcript. It is a transcript of the gene named chromosome 9 C15orf39 homolog, with no coding region annotated. The record is from RefSeq and is a predicted model, not a curated record. The transcript has 4 exons. Lineage: Eukaryota; Metazoa; Chordata; Aves; Galliformes; Numididae.
CUUCGGCCCCGAGCCCCCUUUCCCCCUCGGUUGCCGUGGGGCAGCUCUCGGUUAUGGGAUCCGGGCUUGAGUUGCAGGGUUUUACCCAUUUAUGGCCAAUGUCGAGCGUGCGGUUGCUGCACAGCGCCGGUGGGCUUGCAUUUCAUUUCUUUCCCUUCUAAAAUAUUGCUUCGGUGGGCUCCAAGUGCGGCGUUUUGCCAUCUGCGUGCAACGCCGCUGGGAGCGAGAUCUGCAAAAGCUGCAAAGUGAAACUCCCGAUGGGUUCUACCAGCGGACAGGCUCCAGUUGGGACCGGUGGCCAAUGGUCGCGCCCGCACCCGGCGGAGAUAUCGGGGAGGUGACCACCUCGGCAGCACCCAAGGGCCCCGCGCCGGGUCACCUCUGCCACCUUUGGGGACAGCGGGAUGGGACACGUGGCCGCAGCGGAGCUGGAGGGCUCCCAUGUCCUCUUUGCUGUAGGGUGAAAUGAAGGUGGUGGUGGUGGGGUCACCGUCCCCGGAGGUGCUCCAGAACCGUGGAGAUGUGGCACCGACGGACACGGUCAGCGGGCACGGAAGGCCAGCUGACCUCUCCCACUGCACACCCCGGUGGAGUAUAGAUGGCCUCAAAACGUCUCUCGGAGCCUCUGGAUGCCGUCCUUUUUCACAAGCUACCUCGGCUGGAGGCCGAGCCCAGCCCGGGCAUCCCCUCCAUGCUCUGCAAACCCAACCCUGUGCCCACAGCCGGACCUGAAACCCACCUCGGCUACAAGGGCUCCUACUUCUCCUGCCCACAGGCGGACGGACAGCUCCUGCACUGCCUGCUCCGCCGGCCCCACAGCCCCACGGGCAGGCCAGGUGCUGAGCAGGGCAAGAAUCAUCCCAUGUGGGACCCGCUGGUGGCACAAGACAAGUGGCCCGGCCACCAGGGCCAACCCUUCCCACUGAAGAAGCCACCUGCUGUCCCCAAGCCCGUGUACGCAGCCCCAAUUUGCUUCACACCUCUGGGCUCCCGGGGAGGUGACACCCUGCAGAGGGGGCCAGGGGCCGUGCCUGCUGUGCCCCCACCCUCCCCUGUCACCCUUUCUCCCUAUUACACUGCCUUUGAGAAAUACCACGGUCCCCCUGCUGUGCAUGACCAGGGGAAGGCACCCGAAAUCCCCACCUGCAUCCUGGACCCCUGGAUGAAGGCACACAGGGAGCAUCCCUCCGCCUGCUACCCGCAGCCCCCCUACCCACAGCCUCCGGGCUCCUUCUCCUACAAAGCUUUCGGCUUCGUGGUGAAUGGGAAAUCUCCCCCUUUUCCCAGCACUUACCUUAAGCCCCCAACCCCCCGGAGCCACUAUCCCGGCCCCUCGGAUAGCUUCGUGUCGAGGCCGGCUGCACCGGGCUCGCUGCCCACGCUGAAAGCAAUGGGACCAAGGGAUCCUGAGCCUCAACCUCUGCCUCCAGCCGGGUACCUGCAUCCAAAUCCCGGAUUCGCCUUCAGCCCCAUGGACGCAGCUUUAUUCACGGAGCAUCACAGUGAUGGGCGAAUGGCAGCGCUGGAAGCCCACAGAGGGAGGGCGGUGGCGAGGCACAGCAGCGCCUUCCACCCCAUCCACACCCCACAGAAGACGCCUGAUGGGCUGCUGGGGCCAUUUCCCAAAGCAGAAGCUGGCUACAGUCUGGAUAAGGCGAUGACGGCCACCCCUGUCCCCUGCCAGCAGCAGGCGGUCAAAGGUGGGGUUGGGGAUGCCACCAAGGAGCACUUCACCCCUUGUGGGGCCAUCUGUCCCCAGGAGAGGCUGAGGGACCGACAGAGAGGUGACGUGUCCCCCCCUUCCCCGCCGAUGCCGGUGAUCAACAAGGUCUUCAGCCUGGCACCUUACCGGGAGUACCUGGAGGGGACCGAAGUCUCCGCCGAUGUCCCCAGGGAGCACCCACGAGGGGACACACCACCCCAAAACGCAGGCAGCCAUCAGGAGCCUGCUGGCAUCAAGAUGACACCCAGCCCGCUGCAUGGCAAAGGGGAAAGCUGUCACCGAAAGGUCCCCGAGGGCCCCAAGGCAAAGCCCAUGUCCUCAGAGCCACUAGCAAGCAGUCACCCGGGGCGUCAGGACAGCGAGGGGGAACCAACCCCUGGUGACGUGGCACUGGACCUGAGCUUGAAGAAGAGCCUGGUGACAACGGGGAGCACCCACACAGAGGGGAUGUUGGACCCAGGAGAGAAAGAGGGGUCACUGGGCCAGGUGGAGGUGGGUGAGGACACCAAUGUGCCACCGCAGCUGGUGGAGGCGGGUGGGGACACCAAACUCCCGGUGCCACCCAACCAAUUGGAGGUGGGUGAGGACACCAAAGCCCAGGUACGACCCAACCAAGUGGAGGUAGGUGAGGACACCAAAGCCCAGGUGCCACUGCAGCUGGUGGAGGUCAGCUCGAGGGACAGGAGCCACUUCCAGAGCUCGGCUGCCUUCAUGUUCAAGAAAUACAAGAUCCUGAAGUCCUGGGGACCUCCCUGCGCCCCCCAGCCCAGCUCCCCACCGCAUGCAUGGCAGGGGUCCCCCAGCACCUCCGUCCCACAGGAGCCUUGCCACAACCCAAAGCCUGAAGACGUGUCACCAGCGCUUCCCCAAGACCCCCUGCCCACCCCCUGCCAUGUCCCAGCACAGCCAUGCUUAGCCAACCAGGGUUUCUCUGCCUUGCACAUGUCCCUGUGCCACAUCAUCUCAUGCUCGGUGUCCACAUCCUCCCCGGAGCUGCUGCGGGACUGGCUGAGGAGGACAGAGCCGGGAGACGCGCUGGCAGAGACACCCAAAUCCCUUCCUAAACCCAAAAAUGGCUCCAAACUCCCUGAGCCUCAGAAGCCCCCGAAAGGCAAGGAGAUCUGGCUGGCAUUCCGGAAUGCGGCCGCGCUCCUCAGCAAGCUCCUGGCUCAGCUGGAGGCCUUCACCUUCACCCGCAAGUGCCCUUUUCCCUAUGUGUUGCGGGCAGGUGCCAUCUUCAUCCCCAUCCAUGUGGUGAAGGAGAAGCUCUUCCCCGAGCUCCCCGGGGCCUCUGUGGACCAGGUGCUGCAGAAGCACAAGGUGGAGCUGCGGCCCACCACGCUCUCUGAAGAGAAGCUUCUGAGGGAGCUGGAGCUCAAGGGCUGCACCUCGCGCAUGCUGAAGCUCCUGGCUCUCAAGCAGCUCCCUGAAAUCUACCCAGACCUGCUGAACCUCCUGUGGCACCACUCCAUUCAGCAACAGCUCGAUUUCCCCAAACUGGCCUCCACGUGUCACGGACCCUACAAAACACAGCUUCAAAGCCUCUCCUGAGAAACCCCAAAGCUUCUCCCAAGAAAACCCAGCUCCUUCCUCCGGGCAGGCUCUCAGGAAUGGGACAGUCCCACCCUGCCCUCGUGUCCCUAUUGCUGCAACUGGAGGGAUCACCGACAACUUUGUGUCUUACAGGGUCAAGGUCGGAGGUUGGCCAGUAGAAAUUUGACUUCGUCCAUCGACCGUGCUGGACCACAGCACAGGGAGCGAUGGUGUCGGGGCGAGAGCUUUGGUCCUGGCUGGGAAGGGGCUGCAAGGAAGAUCUGAAGGACAAUUAAUAACAAAAACCCUCCCAAAUGCUGCAGCCACCUGGGGAACAUGCCCAGGACAGACAGACAGACAGACAGACAGACUGCCUUCCCCCCGCCUCGUGUUGUCACCUUACAACUCCGCGCUCAGGUGUUGCUAGCAGAGGAGGAACAAGUUCAGAUGAGGAUUACGUUGUUAUUUUUUCACUACAGGAGUAUUUAUUUUAAACUAAGAAAAUGGAGAAAAAGGAAAAAAAAAAAAAAAACCCAAACCCAUACCCGUGAUUUUUCUUAGCCAAAUAGGGUCUCUCUCUGCAUGGGGAGGCUGCUGCUGUAAAGGGAUUUGGAAAGCAGUGUUUGUUGAUAAGCCUGGCAUGUGGUUUUAUAUACCAAUACACCUGUGCAGGGAAGGACGUUACAUUGCCUUAUUUAAUGUUUUGUAAGACUGUGGGUUUCCAGAAGCACCUCACCUCAUUAAAGGGCUCAUUUUCCAACA